Molecule: ribosomal RNA, 503 nt
Filed under: uncultured bacterium
Lineage: Bacteria
Description: partial 16S ribosomal RNA
Rfam family: Bacterial small subunit ribosomal RNA
Source: RNAcentral
AUUGAACGCUGGCGGCAGGCUUAACACAUGCAAGUCGAGCGGGGUGAUGGUGCUUGCACUAUCACUUAGCGGCGGACGGGUGAGUAAUGCUUAGGAAUCUGCCUAUUAGUGGGGGACAACAUCUCGAAAGGGAUGCUAAUACCGCAUACGUCCUACGGGAGAAAGCAGGGGAUCACUUGUGACCUUGCGCUAAUAGAUGAGCCUAAGUCGGAUUAGCUAGUUGGUGGGGUAAAGGCCUACCAAGGCGACGAUCUGUAGCGGGUCGGAGAGGAUGAUCCGCCACACUGGGAAUGAGACACGGCCCAGACUCCUACGGGAGGCAGCAGUGGGGAAUAUUGGACAAUGGGGGGAACCCUGAUCCAGCCAUGCCGCGUGUGCGAAGAAGGCCUUAUGGUUGUAAAGCACUUUAAGCGAGGAGGAGGCUCUUUUGGUUAAUACCCAAGAUGAGUGGACGUUACUCGCAGAAUAAGCACCGGCUAACUCUGUGCCAGCCGCCGCGGUAA